Long non-coding RNA from Triticum dicoccoides, 1444 nucleotides. RefSeq lists it as uncharacterized. NCBI's taxonomy places the organism in Eukaryota, Viridiplantae, Streptophyta, Magnoliopsida, Poales, Poaceae. The record is from RefSeq and is a predicted model, not a curated record. The transcript has 5 exons.
UACAGUUCUCUCCUCAUCUCGUUCGAUACCUCCACCAGCUCUCAUCUGGUUCGAUCCCCACCAGGCUCAUCCAAAUGCGUCAUUUCUCCUGAUUUGCUGCUGGCGAAGGAAGAUGUCGUUGGUACCAGCAGGAAACUAAUUCCUAGCCUAUUCUCUAGCAUGUGGAUCGAGUCUACCGGCGCGGCCACGGGGAGGGCAAGGGAGAACGUGGCGUGCUACUCAACCUCGUCAUGGCCGGCAGCGAGCUGUCAUAGCUGAGGUGCUGGAUGUGGGUGGAUGCGUUGAUGGAGCUUACGGAGAAGGCUGCACCAAUUUGUGAAUUUCCCAUGCGAACACAUGCAACGGAGAAUGGUUGGAUCUAAAGGCACUAUGGAUGGCACCGUGGCUAUGGUCCAUGAGAUCUAUGGGGUAAUGUAGGCAAGUCUUACACCGCGGACUGCUCAGCACGGUGGUUCUCUUAUUAGCCCAGGCUGUGGACAAGAGAUAGUCAGAAUGGCGACAUCAGGCUAAUCUAGCCGUAUGUGGAACACUAGAGAGCAUGCGAUCGGCGUUUAUCAUGUUUUGCUAUUAAUAAGUUUAUGAAGCAAGUCAGAAUGGCGACACGGGGCAAAUCUAGCCUUAUAUGGAACACUGGAGAGCCUGCUGAUCAACUUGUAUCAUGUUUUGCUAUUAAGCUUAUGAAGCAAGGUGUAUAUGUGCUGAAUGUCCAGCCUUUUGACGAACGCGCUGGUAAUGGUGAACUAAUAUAUGUUCAGGUAACUCAGAAGGAUGGUUGGGCAUGACUUUGUCGAGUGUCAAGCAAAAAAGUAAGAUUGCUAAAUAACAAUUACUAAAUCUGAUGAUUCAGGGGAAAAGUGCUUUGGCGCCACUUGUUCCGACGUCAAUUGGAGCAGUUGGUUGUGGCUUCGUCGGGCGUCGAGCAUGCUUCGACAUGACUUUGUCAGACAUCGAGCAAAGUUGCGCUGCCUGCUAUAGAAUCUUCUUUUAUUAAUGGUGUGCUUAGCCGGGCAACAGAUUUGGCUAGCUUCAAUAUUGGAUGUGUGCUGGUCAUGGCCAAGAUUUGGUUCGCUUCAAAUUUUUUUUGAGAAGCUCAAAGGUUGGGCAUGACUUCGUCCGGCGCCGGCACCAAGUUGCAUGCGAAACUUUAGUUUUUCCUGGCUUCGAUCUUUGUUGGGCAUACUAUCUACUGAGUUUGAAUUUUGUGGUUGUGUUUUGGUCGCAUAGUUCAGGCUGGCUUGUACUUUCUUGGGUGUGUGCUAGUUUGGCCGGCUAGAUGUGUUUAGUUUUCCAUGGUUGUGGGAUUCUGUGUGUUGCAUCCGAGAUCUUAUUUGCAUGCACGCAUCUGUGGAAAGACACAUAUAUUUCCUUGGCUUGUGAUUGUCUUAAACACGUGUCCAGUCUAUUUGGACAUGACACAAAGCACAACAUGUAUUUCUUAUUGCAA